AGCGGGGUAAAGCCAGAG
Molecule: small nuclear RNA, 18 nt
Filed under: Arabidopsis thaliana (thale cress)
Lineage: Eukaryota; Viridiplantae; Streptophyta; Magnoliopsida; Brassicales; Brassicaceae
Description: snRNA_14079
Source: RNAcentral